GUGUUGUACGAAAAGAGAGAAGGUUCGCACUCCCUUUGAUAAGGAUGGAAGAACAACACCCAUAUGGUCAAACAGCAAGGCCAAGUUCUUUC
This 92-nucleotide non-coding RNA is filed under the name Meriones unguiculatus (Mongolian gerbil). The record is from RNAcentral. Lineage: Eukaryota; Metazoa; Chordata; Mammalia; Rodentia; Muridae.